RNAcentral lists this unclassified non-coding RNA (309 nucleotides) under Hevea brasiliensis (rubber tree). The record is from RNAcentral. Lineage: Eukaryota; Viridiplantae; Streptophyta; Magnoliopsida; Malpighiales; Euphorbiaceae.
GACCAGAAUGCCAAGCUGAUGUUCCUAAUACUCGAUUCAGACCUAGGGCAGGAAGAACUCUCAGUGAAAGAAGAUGGAAGGCUGCAUUCUCUCAAGAGGGUUAUUUGGAUAUAGCAGGUGUUCUUAGACGAAUCCAACGAGGGGGGAUUCAUCCAUCAAUUAAAGGGGCGGCCUGGGAGUUCCUGUUGGGUUGUUUUGACCCUGAUAGCACAUUUGUGGAAAGAAAUCAGCUUAGACAACAGCGAAGGGAGCAGUAUGCUGCAUGGAAAUCUGAAUGUCAAAAGAUAGUGCCUGUCAUCGGCAGUGGAA